UCGAAAACAUUCACGAUCCUCAACUCAUC
This 29-nucleotide small RNA is filed under the name Bombyx mori (domestic silkworm). RNAcentral's name for it is "ovarian small RNA-28116". Lineage: Eukaryota; Metazoa; Arthropoda; Insecta; Lepidoptera; Bombycidae. The record is from RNAcentral.